GAUAACAAUGGGAGAGAGAGCGAGGGAAUAAUGAGGUCCCAAGCGGUGUGAGGAGUCAGAGGGAGUAAAGGUGGCGUAGGCGGUGGGGUAAGUCGGAUGGGAAAUCCCGCAGCUUAACUGCGGAACGUGAUUGGAUACGAGCCGGCUGGAGGAGUGGAGGGGAGACUGGAAUUCUCGGUGUAGCAGUGAAAUGCGUAGAUAGCGAGAGGAACACCGGUGGCGAAGGCGAGUCUCUGGACACUUCCUGACGCUGAGGCACGAAAGCCAGGGGAGCAAACGGGAUUAGAUACCCCUGUAGUC
This 300-nucleotide ribosomal RNA is filed under the name uncultured Methanocella sp. RNAcentral's name for it is "bacterial SSU rRNA". The stretch from base 52 to 300 matches the Rfam family "Bacterial small subunit ribosomal RNA", at positions 547 to 795 of the family's 1533-position model. Lineage: Archaea; Methanobacteriati; Methanobacteriota; Methanomicrobia; Methanocellales; Methanocellaceae. The record is from RNAcentral.